UCUCCGUAGGUGAACCUGCGGAGGGAUCAUUACAGAGUUCAUGCCCUCCGGGUAGAACUCCCACCCAUUGCUAUAACUACUCUCGUUGCUUUGGCGGGCCGCUGGGCCCUGCCCGGCCGCCGGCCCCGGCUGGCGCGUGCCCGCCAGAGACCUCACAAACUCUGAAUGUUAGUGUCGUCCGAGUAACUAUACAAUCGUUAAAACUUUCAACAACGGAUCUCUUGGUUCUG
Molecule: unclassified non-coding RNA, 230 nt
Filed under: plant metagenome
Description: partial contains small subunit ribosomal RNA, internal transcribed spacer 1, and 5.8S ribosomal RNA
Source: RNAcentral